RNAcentral lists this ribosomal RNA (239 nucleotides) under uncultured Lactobacillus sp. Its description in RNAcentral is "partial 16S ribosomal RNA". It matches the Rfam family "Bacterial small subunit ribosomal RNA", at positions 125 to 356 of the family's 1533-position model. The record is from RNAcentral. Lineage: Bacteria; Bacillati; Bacillota; Bacilli; Lactobacillales; Lactobacillaceae.
CCGUAGCCCAAGAGAUCGGGAUAACACCUGGAAACAGAUGCUAAUACCGGAUAACAACAGAUGAUGCCUAUCAACUGUUUAAAAGAUGGUUCUGCUAUCACUCUUGGAUGGACCUGCGGUGCAUUAGCUAGUUGGUAGGGUAACGGCCUACCAAGGCGAUGAUGCAUAGCCGAGUUGAGAGACUGAUAGGCCACAUUGGGACUGAGACACGGCCCAAACUCCUACGGGAGGCAGCAGCG